GACGAACGCUGGCGGCGUGCCUAAUACAUGCAAGUAGAACGCUGAAGAGAGGAGCUUGCUCUUCUUGGAUGAGUUGCGAACGGGUGAGUAACGCGUAGGUAACCUGCCUGGUAGCGGGGGAUAACUAUUGGAAACGAUAGCUAAUACCGCAUAAAAUUGAUUAUUGCAUGAUAAUUAAUUGAAAGAUGCAAUUGCAUCACUACCAGAUGGACCUGCGUUGUAUUAGCUAGUUGGUGAGGUAACGGCUCACCAAGGCGACGAUACAUAGCCGACCUGAGAGGGUGAUCGGCCACACUGGGACUGAGACACGGCCCAGACUCCUACGGGAGGCAGCAGUAGGGAAUCUUCGGCAAUGGGGGGAACCCUGACCGAGCAACGCCGCGUGAGUGAAGAAGGUUUUCGGAUCGUAAAGCUCUGUUGUAAGAGAAGAACGGGUGUGAGAGUGG
Molecule: ribosomal RNA, 446 nt
Filed under: Streptococcus sanguinis
Lineage: Bacteria; Bacillati; Bacillota; Bacilli; Lactobacillales; Streptococcaceae
Description: bacterial SSU rRNA
Rfam family: Bacterial small subunit ribosomal RNA
Source: RNAcentral